RNAcentral lists this ribosomal RNA (253 nucleotides) under uncultured bacterium. RNAcentral's name for it is "partial 16S ribosomal RNA". It matches the Rfam family "Bacterial small subunit ribosomal RNA", at positions 524 to 776 of the family's 1533-position model. The record is from RNAcentral.
UACGUAGGGUGCGAGCGUUGUCCGGAAUUAUUGGGCGUAAAGGGCUCGUAGGCGGUCUGUCGCGUCGUGAGUGAAAACUCAGGGCUUAACCCUGAGCCUGCUUCCGAUACGGGCAGACUAGAGGUAUGCAGGGGAGAACGGAAUUCCUGGUGUAGCGGUGGAAUGCGCAGAUAUCAGGAGGAACACCGGUGGCGAAGGCGGUUCUCUGGGCAUUACCUGACGCUGAGGAGCGAAAGUGUGGGGAGCGAACAGG